RNAcentral lists this long non-coding RNA (1017 nucleotides) under Musa acuminata (dwarf banana). Its description in RNAcentral is "long non-coding RNA (MACU_LNC001177)". Lineage: Eukaryota; Viridiplantae; Streptophyta; Magnoliopsida; Zingiberales; Musaceae. The record is from RNAcentral.
UGAAAGAAGAAAGCCUAUUUAUCCCACUUUAACUGGUGAAGUUGGGAAACAGCAUGGAUUAUGAUCGACUGAUGCAGAAAAUUGUGGCUUCUUCUUGUCCUAUAAUUGGUGUUUUAUGGACCACAUACAAGAGAAGAAGAAAUCAAAGGAAAAAAGCACAAGGAAAAGAGAGUACAACUCAAUUGGAUUCUCCGAGUGCAAAAAAAUAUAAGCAUGAAAGUUUCUUCAAGUAGAUCUUUCUUUCACACAUCCAAUAUUCAAACAGCAUCAGUCUCGGAAGUUUCCAUUGCAAGUUUUUCUCGGUGCCCAACUUGCAUGGACUGUCGGAAAUUUCCAAGAAAUACAGCACCGAAUUCCACAGAGAAAUCAGAAAAGACAACAUGCUUAGCUCCAUUUUCCUGGUUCAGAGAAUUCUGGAAUUGGCAUCUUGAAGAAGUCAGAGAAGUUACCUUCUCCGAGCAACAAAUAAAUCUUACAUAAUUUUGGGAUGAGUGAGAUUUUUGUUCAUAUGUUGUGAAGCCACUACUAAUCCAAGUCGCAUCAAAUUCUGCUUUCAUAUAACAGGAAAAGGAGAACGAAGCCACUCGAUUUCUUCUUUUCUUUUUCUCUCUUGCAAAGAUGAAGCCAUAAUGUGACUGAUUUAAAAUGCAAAAGCCGACGCUCUCAAGAUCUCAAAAUGAUUUCAUUGCAGCGAAUGCAAUCGGAAGAUGAAUUGAGAUGGUCAAAACAAAGAAAAAGUCCUAUUCUGCGAGUACACGGGAUUGCUUCACUGUCCUAUCUCACGAGUCCCAUGCAGAGAACAAUUAGUUGCCAGCGAUGCAGGAAGAAGUAAAACUUAUUUUAGCUGAAGACCAUAAUGCACAAAGAGCUCAGACUGACUUGAUCAGUAUAUUUCGUGACCUAAGAAACCAUUUGAAUCAUGCAAAUAAUCUUUAUGCAAAGUCAGAGUAAGACUCAAUACCUGAACAGAAAUGUGCACAGCUGAUGCUCAUCUUCAGAUUCACCUGAGAUGCUUCU